Long non-coding RNA from Oncorhynchus tshawytscha (Chinook salmon), 1453 nucleotides. The record is from Ensembl. NCBI's taxonomy places the organism in Eukaryota, Metazoa, Chordata, Actinopteri, Salmoniformes, Salmonidae.
GUUUGUCUCUCCUGGUGUGGUGUCUGGAGGAGUAGGGGUUUGUCUCUCCUGGUGUGGUGUCUAGAGGUGUAGAGGUUUGUCUCUCCUGGUGUGGUGUCUAGAGGAGUAGGGGGUUUGUCUCUCCUGGUGUGGUGUCUAGAGGAGUAGGGGUUUGUCUCUCCUGUUGUGGUGUCUGGAGGAGUAGGGGUUUGUCUCUCCUGGUGUGGUGUCUGGAGGAGUAGGGGUUUGUCUCUCCUGGUGUGGUGUCUGGAGGAGUUGGGGUUUGCCUCUCCUGGUGUGGUGUCUAGAGGAGUAGGGGUUUGUCUCUCCUGGUGUCUAGAGGAGUAGGGGUUUGUCUCUCCUGGUGUCUGGAGGAGUAGGGGAUUUGUCUCUCCUGGUGUGGUGUCUGGAGGUGUAGGGUUUUGUCUUUCCUGGUGUGGUGUCUGGAGGAGUAGGGGUUUGUCUCUCCUGUUGUGGUUUCUGGAGGAUAGGCGUUUGUCUCUCCUGGUGUGGUGUCUGGAGGAGUCGGGGUUUGCCUCUCCUGGUGUGGUGUCUAGAGGAGUAGGGGUUUGUCUCUACUGGUGUCUGGAGGAGUAGAGGGUUUGUCUCUCCUGCUGUGUGUCUGAAGGAGUAGGGGUUUGUCUCUCCUGGUGUGGUGUCUGGAGGAGUAGGUGGUUUGUCUCUCCUGGUGUGGUGUCUGGAGGAAUAAGGGUUUGUCUCUCCUGUUGUGGUGUCUAGAGGAGUAGGGGUUCUCUCUCCUGGUGUGGUGUCUAGAGGAGUUGGGGUUUGUCUCUCCUGGUGUCUGGAGGAGUAGGGGGUUUGUUCUCCUGGUGUGGUGUCUGGAGGAGUAGAGGAUUUGUCUCUCCUGGUGUGUUGUCUGGAGGUGUAGGGGUUUGUCUCUCCUGGUGUGGUGUCUGGAGGAGUAGGGGAUUUGUCUCUCCUGGUGUGUUGUAUGGAGGUGUAGGGGUUUGUCUAUCCUGGUGUGGUGUCUGGAGGAGUAGGGGUUUGUCUCUCCUGGUGUGGUGUCUGAAGGAGCAGGGGGUUUGUCUUUCCUGUUGUGGUGUCUGGAAGAGUAGGGGUUUGUCUCUCCUGGUGUUGUGUCUGGAGGAGUCGGGGUUUGUCUCUCCUGGUGCGGUGUCUAGAGGAGUUGGGGUUUGUCUCUCCUGGUGUCUGGAGGAGUAGGGGGUUUGUCUCUCCUGGUGUGCUGUCUAGAGGAGUAGGGGUUUGUCUCUCCUGGUCUGGUGUCUGGAUGAGUAGGUGGUUUGUCUCUCCUGGUGUGGUGUCUAGAGGAGUUGGGGUUUUGUCUCUCCUGGUGUGGUGUCUGGAGGAGUAGGUGGUUUGUCUCUUAUGGUGUGGUGUCUGGAGGAAUAAGGGUUUGUCUCUCCUGGUGUGGUGUCUGGAGGAGUUGGGGUUUUGUCUCUCCUGGUGUGGUGUCUGGAGGAGUAGGGGUUGUCUCUCCUGGUGUGGUGUCUGG